RNAcentral lists this ribosomal RNA (245 nucleotides) under uncultured bacterium. RNAcentral describes it as "partial 16S ribosomal RNA". It matches the Rfam family "Bacterial small subunit ribosomal RNA", at positions 524 to 768 of the family's 1533-position model. The record is from RNAcentral.
GACGGAGGAGGCAAGCGUUAUCCGGAAUUAUUGGGCGUAAAGCGUACGCAGGUGGCAGAACAAGUCUUUUGUCAAAGACUGGGGCUUAACCCUGGGAAGGCAGAGGAAACUGUUUAGCUAGAGUGCGGUAGGGGCAGGAGGAAUUCCCGGUGUAGCGGUGAAAUGCGUAGAUAUCGGGAAGAACACCAGCGGCGAAAGCGUCCUGCUAGGCCGUAACUGACACUCAUGUACGAAAGCUAGGGGAG